AUCUGCGGCCAUACUAUUCUGAACGUGCCCAAUCUCGUCUGAUCUUGGAAGCUAAGCAGGGUUGGGCCUGGUUAGUACUUUGAUGGGAGACUGCCUGGGAAUACCGGGUGCUGUAGGCU
This 119-nucleotide ribosomal RNA is filed under the name Piliocolobus tephrosceles (Ugandan red Colobus). The record is from RNAcentral. Lineage: Eukaryota; Metazoa; Chordata; Mammalia; Primates; Cercopithecidae.